GAGAUUUAAAUGAACUGAAAUGUUACAUAGCGUUUUGAUCUUUACAUGAUUAUCAAAAAAAAUAUUUCCUAAAUCCAGUAGCUCUAAGUGCAAAAGGAACAACACUUGAACUAGCCAGACCAAUAAUUAAAACUUACUAUUAAUUAUACAUAUAAAAGGAAAAUGCAGUCAAAUGUCCAGUUAUUACUUAUUGAAGCAGUCCCAAAUGUCCAAUUAUUACAAAAAAAUAGACCAGUCUAACAUUUAACUACAACAUGAUGAUGAUCUUAUUAUUACACCUAUAUUCAAACUAAAUAAGGGGAAAAUGGGGAUAUAAUUAAAAAAAUGUAGAUAACAGAUGGAGAUCUUCACACUUGGGAAUACAUUUCACUUGAACUUCAUAUUUAAAUGAACAUCGAGUGUACCUGUAAUGCAGCAAUGGACAAUAGCCUAUGAGUAAGGGAAGGCGAGCAAGAAGCAAAACAACAUCUAACAACCAGCACACCUAGGGUUUUCAGCAGAGUCUUUGAGAGAAUCAAAUCUCCAAAAUGAUCAAAACAGCAUUGAUAGUUUUUCAUAGAUAUCAGAAGAGCUAAUAUGUAUUUUUAUCUAUAUGAUUCAAAGAAAAGGUUUCAGAUCCUUUAAAAUGUGCUUAGGUGCUUUCUUGUAUAAUGGGGUCGUAGGGCAUCAACUUUUCUCUUGUCUUUUCUUUUAGUCCUUGCUUCAAUUUGCACUUUUCCUAAAUGGUCCUUCAUUUUCUGACUUGUGCCUCAAGUUUGAGGCUGAAAUUGCGUUUUAAUCCCUCACUAGAAUGUUCUAGGGGAUUACUAUCAGAUUCCUUAAGGUUCAAAUCCCUCUUAUACCCCUAUUUCCUUUCCGAAAUUACCUACCUGACGUUUUAUUCUCAGUUUUUCCUUGACCCUGGUUUAGUUACAAUUGACCCUGGUCAAUCAAGUUUGGGUCACUCUUAAUCUUGGACUAACAUGCUUAUCAAGGUUUAAAAUCAGCCACAACUACCAGGUUUUAAAACAAAUGCCUCAAUGUAGACUUACAACACACAAACAUUAUUCCGGAUUGUCAAAACAAAGGAUCAAAAUAACCAGAAGAAUGAAUAUAUCUAUUAACACUUAAAUUUUAAGAAAUAGCUCAAUCAAAAUACAUAAAAAUGAGAAGCACAUAGCAGGGGAUGAGUACUUAGUUCAUGAGCAAAAUUAGGAAUCAAGUAAAGGUUCAGCGAGAAGGAAUAGCUUAAUUAUGCAUAAGUACUGAAGAUCAAAGUUAUUGUGAGAUGAGAAUCAAGAACUCAGUAGCAAAAACAAACUAAUCAAACUAAUUAGAAUCAUCAGGGAACAAAACAAUGAGAAUCAUGAGAUGAAGGUCAACAACCACAGAAAUCAUACUAUUGAAGGGUCAACAACUAGGCUUUCAAAAUCAAGGAGCCAGUAUUAACAGGGUAUCAACUUAUUCAGGAGAGGAAGGGAGUUCAAAAUAACAACCAAAAGGCAUAUAACUACUGAAACUAUUUCAUAUGUGAUUAUAGAAAAGCAAGCAAUUAAUCAAAGAGGAAGCAAAUAUAUAUAAGCCAGGGCAGAAUAAUUAGCUUUUUUUAUGCAAAAAUCUCCAUGGGACCAUUCCGUUGAUUCCUGAUUUUUGUAGAGGCUUUCUAUCCUCCUAGGACACUGGUGUGAUGUAUAACAAGCUUAGGAUUUCAAGAUAAGGCCUUUUAUGAUUCUGAGACCCCGGUGAGGUCUCAGAUCUAAUUUUCUUCGGUAGCUAGUGUUGUUUGGGGGUCAUGGGUCGCAUGGUUGGGGAAAGGAAGGGCCAGAGAUUGCCUAGGAGGAAUUUUACCGAGUUCCGACAGCUUUUGAGUUUUAGGGUUAGGCUUUGAAUCGAUCUUCAAAGGGUUUCGGGCAGAUUCAAAUGAGAUGACACACAUGGUUGGAAAUAGGAGAUCAAGCUGCCUCAGGGGUGUAUGUUUGGAAGGUUUAGGAAUAGGGUCGUCAGAGACGGUGGUUCCGACGACCUUGUUUACAAAUAUUCGAGAGGGAUGGGGUUUGUUCGACGGGAACUAACUACCUGGUGGGGUAUAGGAGGUGGUGACGGUUUAGUGGUGUAAAUCUGGGGAUGUUUGGUUGCCGGCCGCCUCCGUGAGGUGAUUUCUGGUGGCGGUGUUAAGGUGGUAGGCUGGUGGUCAAGGGGUGGUCAAAAGGUGUUCGAGGGUGGUGCUAUGUCCGAGAAGAUGGUACGAGGAAGGGGGAGGUUUGGUCUCUAUUGUACUAGAGACGUUUGGACAUAUGUAUAUUAUUUUGGUGGGGGUUUGUUGACCGUUGGAUGGUGUGAGAUCAACCGUCGUAGUGGCUGGGCUCUUACAUGGUGUCGUUUGGUUUGGUACUGUGUGGACUGGACCAGGGUCGGUCAUUUGGGCUAGGGAUGUGUAUUUUUAGAAGGGGAAAAGAUUUGGGCCACUCAGGUCUGGCCUAAUUAUGGCCAGCCUGAGUGGCUGUGUAUAUAUAUACAUAUAUUUUUUGUCUUUUCCUUUUUUAUUUUAAUUAAUUUCUAGCUUUAUUUAAAAACCAAAAAUCCCUAACUAUCACAAAUAAAAACUGCAAUAAGUUGAAAUUAAAUAAAAAUAAUUACAAAUACCAGAAAAAAAAAUAUAUAUAUAUAUAUUGUAUAUUAAUUUGUAAAACAAGUUAAAUUCCAAACAAUUUUAAAUAUGCAUUAACAAGCACGCACUCGCACACGAUCAAAUUCUAAAAAAUUGAAAAAUUAAAUUUAAAGAAAAGCCUAAAUUUUGAGAGUCCUGUAGGAACUUAUUUCAACCGGGUAAAAAUCAUAUGCUCACAUAAAUCUAUAAAUAUAGAUAUAGUUCUUAACUCACAAAAGAAGAAAUAUUUCAAACAUGGAAUAUUCUUCAAAAGUUAAUCUUGAGGUAGUGGCCUCUAUACAUGUAGUAUCUAUAUAAAAGGUCCUAAAUUUUAUCAUAUUUAGACACGAACUCUGUGACGCAAAACGCUUUUAAAACUUAUUACUAAACAUAAAACAAGUCAAUCUAAACACCCAAAUAGUUAAUUUCUAACAAUAUAUUUUCUAUGGCAUUUAUACUAAAACAUAAAAAUUGGGAUAUAUGUUGAGGCAUAAAAAAUGAGAGUGCAGACGUCGUAACUUUUAAUAUAUGGAGUGAAGAGAAACAUUUGGUACAUGCUAGACAAAUACAACACCAUAACUUUGACAAAAGAAAAGAGGAAAUUAUAAAAUACUUAAAAAUAAAAGGCCAUUUUAUCAAUCACUAAUAAGAUAAUUGCCAGAAGCCUAUUCAUGCUUUAUUGAACUCUUAUUUUGAUUUAACCAAAUACCUGUAACUUCAUAGCUUCUACAGAAGUUGGCUUUUGCGAUGUAGUAAACUUGGGCAUGUCAAAUAGAUCUAUAGAUUCUGGCUUCAGACUUGAACUCAAGCUUACAACCGCAAACUUUAUAAUUUCCGAAAAAAAGUGCGAACAAACAUUUCUCUGUUAUAGCAAGGAGUAACAGAGGCCACGCAGCUAUGAAUUUUAGAGUAUCUUGAAAAACAAAAUUAUUUUGAAGAUGGCUCCAAAGUUGUCCUAAAUAAUUACCAACGCUCUCUAUUUAUAGAAGAAUUACUAGGGCUUUUCUAGGAUUAAUUUGAGCUGGAUUCUUGAAUGAUUCGGAUUUCAAACGGCUCAAGAACCAUUUUUAAUUGCAUGUAGCAAGAAAACAAAGAAGAUAUCGGCAGAGGCAACAAAGAUUCAGUUGCCAAAAUUGUGAAAUCUUGGAGGAAACAAAAAAGAACCCUUUUUACCUUUGUUAACUUCAUUGUAAAUAGUAAAUGAAUUUUGAACUCUUCCAUAAAAUUGCUUUGAGUUUACAGAUGAUUCCUCAAAAUAACCACAUAAAUUUCUGAUUAUAUGAUUUGAGAGUCAAAUUUGCUAAGAAAAUAGAAGGAGCCAAAACGAUUCUGCCA
Molecule: long non-coding RNA, 3961 nt
Filed under: Nicotiana benthamiana
Lineage: Eukaryota; Viridiplantae; Streptophyta; Magnoliopsida; Solanales; Solanaceae
Description: long non-coding RNA (NBEN_LNC008385)
Source: RNAcentral